GAACCAGUGAACGGCCUCUUUGCAAAUAAACUGGUGAAAUUCCACUUCAAAUUUUUAUUUGUUUUCAAAACUUGUUUUUUGCUGUCUUGUUUUUUCGUCUUUUUUAUUUGUUCUCACCUCCUUUUUGAACAUCUUUUGUUGUCAUCAUUUUCAGUAACAGUUUAUUAUUUACAUCAUGGAUGACUUUGUUUGCCAGACAUUAAAUGACUGGGGCCUAAGCAAGUGGAUAGAAACAUUUAGAGAACAAGGCGUUGGCAAGAAAUAUCUGUACUGCCUUGAGGAUCAAGAUGUGGGGGAAUUGAUUUCCAAAGUGGGACCAAGAGCACAUUUCAGAAAGAAACUGAGGCAGUUAAAGGAAGAACAAAAUAGAAAUGAGGAUACAUCACCUAUAUCUGUACCA
Poecilia reticulata (guppy) is the source of this 400-nucleotide non-coding RNA. Lineage: Eukaryota; Metazoa; Chordata; Actinopteri; Cyprinodontiformes; Poeciliidae. The record is from RefSeq and is a predicted model, not a curated record.